ACUGUGAGGAUAAAACUACCUAUUCAAGCCUCAGCAAUGGCGGAUGCCCUUCUUCUGCCAAACAUUCAAUUAUGUCAGAUGUUUCUUUUCCCAAGCAUUCAAUAUUGUCAGGUUUUUCUCCUGCCAAAUAUUUAAUCUGAUGUGUCUUCUGCCAAAUGUUCAAUCUUGUCUGAUAUUUCUUCUGCUGACGAUUCAGUCUUCUCAGAUGUUUCUUCUGACACACAUGCAAUCUUCUUAAAUGUUCUUUCUGCCAAAUAUUGCAUCUUGUCAGAUGUUUCUUUUUCUAUUUCUUCCCACAAAGCCUCCAUGGGGUGCUUUUCUUACAUCCACCCAGCUCCUCUUGUUGUCUGCAGCCCCCAGUUGGCAGUUCCUGUUACCUCUUCUUAUUGUCUGUUUCAUACAAGUUUUUUCUCUUGAGCAUAAGGAUCUGCUUCAGCUUCCAUACUUUUUUUUCUGGAUGGAAGAUUUGUGAAUCUUCCUGAAGUUCUCAACUGGAAUUUUGCACUGAUGUUAUAAGAAGAUGUUAUCACAGAAGGAGCUCAGGGGCACCUGGCACUUCUGGCUCUUUACAGCAAAGAUCUUUUUCAUGGCUGUGACUACCAACUUCAAUAACACCACAGCUCACCCUCACUCUUCCUCACCUUCCCUCCAACCCCAAUGCCAGCAAGCAAUUUUCUCUGGCCAAGAUCUCUGACAGAGGUCUCAUCGUCUUGAGACUCUUAGAGAACAAACACACCAUCUCCAGCCUCUCAGAGCAGAAACACACAGUCUCCAGCCUCUCACAGAAAAAAAUAAAUAAAUAAAUAAAUAAAUAAAUAAAUAAACCUCACCAUCUCCAGUUUCUCGAGGAGAGUCUGGCCAUCUCCUACUUCGCAGUGAAUAGACUCACUGUCUCCAGACUGUCAGAUGAGAGACUUACCUUUUGCAGCCUCUAAGAAGAGGACCCCAAUGUCUCCAGCCUCUCAAAGGAGAAACUCAUCAUCACCAGCUUUUGGAGGAGAAACUGGCUGUCGCCAGCCUCUCAGAGAAUGACCUUUCCAUCUCCAGCCUCUCACAAGAGAAACUCACCAUGUCCAGCUUCUGGAAAAUAACUCACCAUCUGCAGCCUCUCAGAGGAGAAACUGGUUGUCUUUAGCCUCUCAGAAAAGGAAUUCACAGUCUCUAGCAUCUCAGAGGACAAACUUAUCAUCCUGAGCCUCUCAGAGAAGAAACUUACUGUUUCCAGCCUCCUAGACAGAAACUUGCUGUCUCCAGCCUCUCAGAGGAGAAACGGUCACCAGCCUCUUAGAAGAAGAAAACCUUGCUGUCUCCAGCCUCUUGGAAAAAAACGGCCAUCUCCAGCCUCUGAGAAGAGGACCUCAUUGUCUUCAGCCUCUCAGAAAAAGAACUCACCAACUCCAUCCUCUCAGAGGAAGAACUCACCGUAUCCAGCCAAUCACAGAGACUCACACUCCCCAGCCUCUCAGAGGAGAGACUCACUGUCUUCGCCUCUCAGAGAAAAAACUCACUGUCUCCAGCCUCUCAGAAAAGAAACUAACCAUCUCCGGUCUCUUGCAGAGGGAUCUCACUAUCUCCAGCCUCUUACAGGGGGACUUCAUGUCUCUAGCCUCUCACAGGAUGACCUCACUUUCUCCAGCCUCUUAGAUGAGGAACUCACAGUCUCUGGGCUCUAAGAGAAGAAACUCAUCAUCUUGAGUCUCUCAGAAGAGUAACUGACCAUCUCCAACUUUCCAGCAAAGAAACUGGCCAUCUUCUACCUCUCAGAAAAGAACCUCACCAUCUCCAGCCUCUCGGAAAUGGAAUUGGCCAUCUCCCGCCUCUCAGAGGAGGACCUCAAUGUCUCCAGCCUCUCAGAGGAGGAAUUCACAGUCUCCAGGCUCUCUGAGAUGAAACUCACUAAGCUGAGCUUCUGAGAAGAGAAGCUUACCAUCUCCAACCUCCCAGUAAAGAAACUGGCCAUCUCCUGCCUCUCAGAAUGAGGAUACACCAUCUCCAGACUCUCAGAAGAGAGACUUGUCAUUCUCAGCUUCUCAGAGAAGACACUCACCAUCUCCACUUUAUUGGAAGAAAAGCUCACAGUCUCCAGCCUCUCAGAAGAAAAUCUGGUCAUCUCCAGCAUCUCAGAGGAGCACUUCUCCUUCUCCAGCCUCUCAGAGGGUGGAACUUGUAGUCUUUAGCCUCUUAGAGGAGAAACUCAUCAUCUCCAGCCUUCUCUCAGAAGGGAAACUGGCUGUCUCCAGCCUCUCAGAGGAGAAACUUUUUGUCUCUAGCCUCUCGGAGUAGGACCUCACCAUCUCCAGCUUCUCAGAAAAUAAAUUAAUCAUCUUCAGCCUCUCAGAGGUGAAACUCACCAUCUACAGCCUCUCAGAAGAGUACCUUGCAGUCUGCAGUCUCUCAAAGGAGAAAAUUGCCAUCUCCAGCCUCUCAAAGAAGAAACUGUCUGCAGCCUCUCAGAUGAGGAAAUCUUCAUCUCCAGUCACUCAGGAAAGAAACUUACCAUCUCCAGCCUCUGAAAGAAGAAACUUGCUGCCUCCGGCCUCUCAAAGGAGGAACUCACCAUCUCCAGUCUCUCAUAGAAGGGCGUAAUUUUCUCCAGCCUCUCAGGAAAAAAAAAAAGACUUGCCAUCUCCAGCCUCUCAGGAGAAACUCAUUGUCUCCAGCCUUUCAGAGGAGAGAGUCACCAUGUCCAGUUUCUCAGAGGAGGAGCUCACUGUCUUCAGCCUCUCAAAGUAGGCUGAAGUAGCCAAAGAUGGCUGAGUAGCCAUCUCCUGCUACUCAGAGAAGAAGCUCCCCACCUCCAGCCUCUCAGUGGAGACAGUGGGGUUACAAUGGCAUAGCAUUGCCCCAACCCGCAAAAGAAAUAGUAUCGAAGUCCAAUGUAAACCUAUUAAUUACGUGGCUGUGCUACAAUCAAAACAUAGAUCUCUGACGUCAGCCUUAUUGUUCUUCAUUGUGUUGAUCAAGAGCUUUCAGGUUCCUCUUUCCAUGUAGUUGAGGAAAUUCCUCAGCCCAUUGUCACCUCGGAUCUCAUGCUGCAACUCCAUCCUUAGCUCAACACCCACUGGCCCCUGCUUUCAAACGGUUGCUGGUCUUCAGGUAGAGCAGGUUCUGCAGAUCAAAGGACAUUUUUCACUAAAAAUCUCUGACAUCAGAGACAGAGACUACAUAUCUAUAAUGAACCUUUCCGAAACCUGUCCAUUAGAAAGCCACUUCUCAGUACAGAGGUGGCCCUUGGAGUCUUUCCAGGAUUUUCACAUCCAUCUGCGAAGAGGAAAAGAACUCCUGAAACUGGGCUGACUUCAUAACCAGUUUAAUUUCACACAUCUCACCUUUCUGGAGCUGCCUUGUUUUUCCCUUCUUGCAUCACUGCAGAGAAAAUUCAUGGACUUCCUAAAGACCCCAGAUGAGGAUGUCGGGAUGAUACACAAAGCUGCGUCCAGGGGAACGCGUGGGAGCUGCAGCGGAGGCUCCCGCUGAAGAGAAAAGACCAGUCUGAAAUCUACAAGAACAGAGAAUUAUUCCAAAUCAAUAUGAAAAUACCUCUAAAACUGGGCAAAGUACCUUUUCCAGCUCUGCAAGUCACCUAUGCACAUAGGAAAAAAUACUUAAUGUGUCUGAUAAGAGAAGGAAUUUAAUUUAAAAAAGGAAUGAAAUGCCGUUUUCUAUCCUAAGUUUGUGAGGAUGAGGAGCAGUGAUAUUUACACUUCUGCUUAAAGUUAAGUUGCUGAUGACUUUUCAAAAAGACAAUUUGGUGGAUGGCUCCACAUUUGGCCUGUGCCAAUGGCUGCCCAGAAGUGGUAACUUUUCUGGUGCACAGAAAAUGCCAGCUUAACAUCCGUGACAGUGAAAACAAGACACCUCUAACGAAGGCUAUAACAUGCCAAGAAGAUGUGAAACUAUUCUGCUAGACCUUGGUGCUGAUCCAAAUAUUACCGAUGUCUAUGGCAACACUGCUCUCCAUAUGCUCUCUAUAAUGAGAAUAUGUCAAUGGUAGCAAAACUGUUUUCACACAAGACAAACAUCAAAGUGAAAAACAAUGUAGAGCAACCAACGUUAUUUUCAAAAUAUUUGAAAUCCACUUGUUUUAACAUUGACAUAUGUAAGGGUCAGUUUUUCCUAUUUGGAAGCUUAAGCAAUCCCUGAAUAAAAAUAAUUUGAAAUAAUGGUCUAAGAUUUUACCUUAAAUACUAAUAUCUUUAAAAAAGUAUUAGAGAGUAUGGCUUUCUUUUAUGCAUUUAUGGUACAUAUUUGAAUUUGUUAUAGGUAAAACUUUUGUUUUCAA
Molecule: long non-coding RNA, 4282 nt
Organism: Pan troglodytes (chimpanzee)
Lineage: Eukaryota; Metazoa; Chordata; Mammalia; Primates; Hominidae
Exons: 6
Source: RefSeq, a predicted model, not a curated record